GAUGUAGCCAGUGGUAAAGAGUCCCUGAGUUUAAUGUCCUCUACUAAAAGAAAUUUUUUUAAAUGAACAAAUAAAUGGAUACAUGAGUUCUACAGAAUGAAUGAACACAUGAAUGAAUUAACUUAGCAGGACAAAUAGGAUUUCCUGGGAUGGAGGGAAAAAGAGAAGUGUGGGAACAGGGUCAGUGCCUCCUGGGCGGUCCAGGUUAUGCCACGUUGCUGAGGGCAGGUGACAAGCUACAGGAGAUCCCUGUUUAUGAGCCUCACUGCCCCUCUCCAGCAAGGAAGGGAGAGGGAGGAGGGAGAAGGCUGGCUUCAGCCAGGCCCUUCUGAUUUGUUUACUAACACUACAGUUCUGGGUCAUGACAGCAGUAGCAUCUGAUCCAGCUAAAUAUAUCUGCUCUGCUGGCUUGGACCACACAGCUGGCCCCUGAAGGUCACACAGACCAGGGACCACCCCACUCAUCCCUUGGGGUUGGGCCCUGGGUCUUGUCCUGACCCCAGAGUCCUGUGUCCCCAGGGUACAAAUGGUUACUUUAAGUCCAAACAAAGCUGCAAUUACUGGAUGAUUCCAUGUGGAUAGUUUCAUCCUGGACAGAAUCAGAGGAUGUCAGGGAGGAAACCCUAACUGUCCAGCUGUAGGACAACAAAAUGGGUCAUCUCUCUUUGUGAGCAUAUUUGCAUUAUUUAUGAAUGUCAAGAGAAUAUUUUACUCUUGGUCAAUGUUAUUACUGUAUAAUGUCUAGUGAAAAGAGCACAAGAAUUAGGUACAGUGUGAGUGCUAUCAUGUCCUUUAAAAAGCAUAGAAAUAGGGCUGGGGUUAUCGCUCAGUGGUAGAGCACUUGCCUAGCAUGUGUGAGGCACUGGGUUUGAUUCUCAGCUCUGUAUAUAAAUAACUAAAUAAAAUAAAGGUCUAUCAACAAAUAAAAAUACAUCUAAAAAAAGUAUAGAAAUAUAUGUGGAAGGAAUCACAAGAAACUGUCAACACAGUUUACCUCCCAGGAGGGGAACUGGGGAUCAGAGGAUAGGAAGGGAGAGAGAUUUUUCUCCUCUCAUGCCUUUUCAUGUUUUGAUUUUUUUCCCCCUUGGUACUGGAAAUUGAACCCAGGGGCACUUUACUGCUGAGCUAUAUUCCCAGCAUUUUUUAUUUUUUAAGAC
This 1157-nucleotide long non-coding RNA is filed under the name Marmota monax (woodchuck). The record is from RNAcentral. Lineage: Eukaryota; Metazoa; Chordata; Mammalia; Rodentia; Sciuridae.